RNAcentral lists this ribosomal RNA (664 nucleotides) under uncultured bacterium. RNAcentral's name for it is "bacterial SSU rRNA". It matches the Rfam family "Bacterial small subunit ribosomal RNA", at positions 11 to 652 of the family's 1533-position model. The record is from RNAcentral.
GUUUGAUCCUGGCUCAGAACGAACGCUGGCGGCGUGCCUAACACAUGCAAGUCGAACGGAAUUAAGGGGCUUGCUCCUUAAUUUAGUGGCGCACGGGUGAGUAAUGCGUAGAUAAUCUACCCAAGGAUCCGGGAUAACAUUUCGAAAGGGGUGCUAAUACCGGAUAAGCCCACGGAGUCUUCGGACUCUGCGGGAAAAGGGGGGGACCUUCGGGCCUUCUGUCCUCGGAUGAGUCUACGUACCAUUAGCUAGUUGGUGGGGUAAAGGCCUACCAAGGCUACGAUGGUUAGCUGGUCUGAGAGGAUGAUCAGCCACACUGGAACUGAGACACGGUCCAGACUCCUACGGGAGGCAGCAGUGGGGAAUUUUGCGCAAUGGGGGAAACCCUGACGCAGCAACGCCGCGUGAGUGAUGAAGGCCUUCGGGUCGUAAAGCUCUGUCAGUGGGAAAGAAAUGUACGAGGGCCAAUACCCCUUGUACUUGACGGUACCCACAAAGGAAGCACCGGCUAACUCCGUGCCAGCAGCCGCGGUAAUACGGAGGGUGCGAGCGUUGUUCGGAAUUAUUGGGCGUAAAGCGCGUGUAGGCGGCUCCUUAAGUCUGAUGUGAAAGCCCCGGGCUCAACCUGGGAAGUGCAUUGGAAACUGGGGAACUUGAAUACGGG